This 255-nucleotide ribosomal RNA is filed under the name uncultured prokaryote. RNAcentral describes it as "partial 16S ribosomal RNA". It matches the Rfam family "Bacterial small subunit ribosomal RNA", at positions 523 to 777 of the family's 1533-position model. The record is from RNAcentral.
AGACGUAGGGCGCGAGCGUUGUCCGGAUUUAUUGGGCGUAAAGAGCUCGUAGGCGGCUUGUCGCGUCGACUGUGAAAACCCGCGGCUCAACCGUGGGCCUGCAGCCGAUACGGGCAGGCUAGAGUUCGGUAGGGGAGACUGGAAUUCCUGGUGUAGCGGUGAAAUGCGCAGAUAUCAGGAGGAACACCGGUGGCGAAGGCGGGUCUCUGGGCCGAUACUGACGCUGAGGAGCGAAAGCGUGGGGAGCAAACAGGA